CUCCUUUGUCAUAAAGCCAGGUGUGGUGAUGACAGGCAAGCCGCUACAUCCCAGGCCCAGCAAGCAGACCUGGCACAUUGGCUACCACAUGAGGCCAACCUUGGGCACAGGGUAAGGGCUGGGCCUUUCUGGUCCUACAAAUCUGAACAAUCUGUAAGUUUAAUUUUGUCACCAUGGCAAGGCAAAUCAAAGGGACUCUGAGGAAGCCACACAGAAUGAAAGAACAGGGAACAACUUCGCUGACCUCGGUGGCUGUGAGCUCUAAAAUCUCAGCUGGCGACACCAAGCUUAUUUCUUUGAUCUUCAACUCUUUGUUCCUGACUGAUAAACUUUUCCUCUACCCCUUCCAACCUGUAUUUGUCUCUGGAUCACCCAGUCCUACUUACAGAUAUGUUUUCCAAAAUAUUGAAAUUGGAAGCAAGCAUUAUAUCCAAAAUCUCAUCACAAGUUCAAUGACAAUGGUACAUGCAAGAGGUAGCAACCUCAAAGGAUUGAGAACCAUCUCCAAGGUGUGAGUCUGGGCAACAUUUGUCUGUGAAAGGCUCACUUCUGAAACACAGGUAUCCUGGAAUUCUCCAACAAGUUGAAGCUCAACACAUUUUUGGUGAUCUCACUUGUGGGAAAUGGGUGGAUGUAACUGGCCCCACUAUGAAGACAAAUUUGUGGUCUAUGAUGACAGCAUGGCACAAACCUAC
RNAcentral lists this long non-coding RNA (695 nucleotides) under Fukomys damarensis (Damara mole-rat). RNAcentral describes it as "lncRNA (ENSFDAG00000027721.1)". The record is from RNAcentral. Lineage: Eukaryota; Metazoa; Chordata; Mammalia; Rodentia; Bathyergidae.